Molecule: ribosomal RNA, 395 nt
Filed under: uncultured bacterium
Lineage: Bacteria
Description: bacterial SSU rRNA
Rfam family: Bacterial small subunit ribosomal RNA
Source: RNAcentral
GACGAACGCUGGCGGCGUGCUUAACACAUGCAAGUCGAGCGGUAAGGCCCUUUCGGGGGUACACGAGCGGCGAACGGGUGAGUAACACGUGGGUGACCUGCCCUCAGCUCUGGGAUAAGCCUGGGAAACCGGGUCUAAUACCGGAUAUGACUCCAUGACGCAUGUUGUGGGGUGGAAAGCCUUGUGCGGCUGAGGAUGGGCCCGCGGCCUAUCAGCUUGUUGGUGGGGUGAUGGCCUACCAAGGCGACGACGGGUAGCCGGCCUGAGAGGGCGACCGGCCACACUGGGACUGAGACACGGCCCAGACUCCUACGGGAGGCAGCAGUGGGGAAUCUUGCGCAAUGGGCGAAAGCCUGACGCAGCGGCGCCGCGUGAGGGAUGACGGCCUGGUGUAA